UACGUAUGGUGCAAGCGUUAUCCGGAUUUACUGGGUGUAAAGGGAGCGUAGGCGGCGCGUUAAGUCUGAUGUGAAAACCCGAGGCUCAACCACGGGAGUGCAUUGGAAACUGGCGGGCUGGAGUGCCGGAGAGGUAGGCGGAAUUCCUAGUGUAGCGGUGAAAUGCGUAGAUAUUAGGAGGAACACCAGUGGCGAAGGCGGCUUACUGGACGGCAACUGACGCUGAGGCUCGAAAGCGUGGGGAGCAAACAGG
RNAcentral lists this ribosomal RNA (253 nucleotides) under uncultured bacterium. Its description in RNAcentral is "partial 16S ribosomal RNA". It matches the Rfam family "Bacterial small subunit ribosomal RNA", at positions 524 to 776 of the family's 1533-position model. The record is from RNAcentral.